Molecule: non-coding RNA, 70 nt
Submitted as: unclassified sequences
Source: Rfam
CGCAGAGUGAUUGCGACCGACACAAAUGUCGGUUGCAAGUAAUGCGACUGAUAAGCGGUCACAAGUCCGC